ACACGUAUGAACGAUUAUGACCUGAAGC
RNAcentral lists this small RNA (28 nucleotides) under Bombyx mori (domestic silkworm). RNAcentral describes it as "ovarian small RNA-11046". The record is from RNAcentral. Lineage: Eukaryota; Metazoa; Arthropoda; Insecta; Lepidoptera; Bombycidae.